AAUUCUUAGCAAAAUCAAGACCAGCAUAAUUUUUUUUAUUUCUUAUAUGUACGAGAACUAUGAGGAUAUAAAAUGAACACUUUAUCAUACUAGCAUAUCAAUACCGGAAAUCUGACUUUCAUUGAUCAAAAACAAAAGUUGUACAUUUUAGGUUAUUAAAGAUUAAAUGGGUAUAAUCCUGCAUGCGGUUGUAGUUCUGUGACUGCUAUUAAAGUAUUCUCAGAGUUGGUGCUAUUCAAUAUCUUCUCUUAGACUAGAUCAUACAUGUCAUAUCAGUAGUCAAACCUACCGAUUGGGAUCUUUCCAGGUCUUGAUUUAGACAAUGGUUAUUUUAUUUCGUUGGACACUUAAAUUCGUGGAUAAAGUCAUCCACGAAAACCACGAAAAUUGGUACCCCACGAAUAAAAGUACUUUCACAGUAUACAAAAUGUA
Molecule: long non-coding RNA, 432 nt
Filed under: Mytilus galloprovincialis (Mediterranean mussel)
Lineage: Eukaryota; Metazoa; Mollusca; Bivalvia; Mytilida; Mytilidae
Source: RNAcentral